Molecule: ribosomal RNA, 253 nt
Filed under: uncultured bacterium
Lineage: Bacteria
Description: partial 16S ribosomal RNA
Rfam family: Bacterial small subunit ribosomal RNA
Source: RNAcentral
UACAGAGGGUGCGAGCGUUAAUCGGAAUUACUGGGCGUAAAGCGUGCGUAGACGGUAGCGUAAGUCAGAUGUGAAAGCCCCGGGCUCAACCUGGGAAUGGCAUUUGAUACUCUGAGGCUGGAGUACGGGAGAGGAGAGUGGAAUUCCCAGUGUAGAGGUGAAAUUCGUAGAUAUUGGGAAGAACACCGGUGGCGAAGGCGGCUCUCUGGACCGUAACUGACGCUGAGGCGCGAAAGCGUGGGGAGCAAACAGG